UGAGGAAUAUUGGUCAAUGGGCGAGAGCCUGAACCAGCCAAGUAGCGUUCAGGAUGUCGGCCCUAUGGGUUGUAAACUGCUUUUAUGAGGGGAUAAAGUGCGUGACGUGUCAUGCAUUGCAGGUACCACAUGAAUCAGGACCGGCUAAUUCCGUGCCAGCAGCCGCGGUAAUACGGAAGGUCUUGGCGUUAUUCGGGUUUAUUGUGUUUAAAGGGAGCGUAGGCUGUCUAUUAAGCGUGAUGUGAAAUUUACCGGCUCAACCGGUGACUUACAGCGAGAACUGGUCGACUUGAGUAUAGAGUAGGUAGGCGGAAUUCAUGGUGUAGCGGGGAAAUGCUUAGAUAUCAUGACGAACUCCGAUUGCGCAGGCAGCUUACUGUAGCAUAACAUACGCUGAUGCUCCAAAGAGCGAUUAUUAAACAGG
RNAcentral lists this ribosomal RNA (424 nucleotides) under Fusobacteriota bacterium. RNAcentral describes it as "Fusobacteria bacterium partial 16S ribosomal RNA". It matches the Rfam family "Bacterial small subunit ribosomal RNA", at positions 355 to 776 of the family's 1533-position model. The record is from RNAcentral. Lineage: Bacteria; Fusobacteriati; Fusobacteriota.